This 253-nucleotide ribosomal RNA is filed under the name uncultured bacterium. RNAcentral describes it as "partial 16S ribosomal RNA". It matches the Rfam family "Bacterial small subunit ribosomal RNA", at positions 524 to 776 of the family's 1533-position model. The record is from RNAcentral.
GACGAACCGUGCGAACGUUAUUCGGAAUCACUGGGCUUAAAGCGCGUGUAGGCGGGACGGCACGUCGGUCGCUGAAAGCCCCCGGCUCAACCGGGGAACGGGCGCGAUACGACCGCCCUGGAGGAACGUAGGGGGACCUGGAACUUCCGGUGGAGCGGUGAAAUGCGUUGAGAUCGGAAGGAACGCCCGUGGCGAAAGCGAGGUCCUGGACGUUUACUGACGCUGAGACGCGAAAGCCAGGGGAGCGAACGGG